CACUUCUAAGGAAGGCAGCAGGCGCGCAAAUUACCCAAUCCUGACUCAGGGAGGUAGUGACAAGAAAUAACAAUAAACCGGCUUAUGCCGGUUUAAUUGGAAUGAGUACAAUUUAAACAUCUUAACGAGGAACAAUUGGAGGGCAAGUCUGGUGCCAGCAGCCGCGGUAAUUCCAGCUCCAAUAGCGUAUACUAAAGUUGUUGCAGUUAAAAAGCUCGUAGUUGGAUUUCUGUGGGGACGGAGCGGCCGGCCGCACAUCGCGGUUCGAGCUAGCGCUUUCCCUACAUCCUGCCGCGAACCGUGCUACCAUUAGUUUGGUGGCGCCGGGGAUCGGCUCGAUUACUUUGAGAAAAAUAGAGUGUUCAAAGCAGGCCACACGUCUUGAAUAAGUUAGCAUGGAAUAAUAACUAAGGACUUCGGUUCUAUUUUGUUGGUGUUCGGGACUGAAGUAAUGAUUGAUAGGGACAGUUGGGGCGGUCUGUAUUCCAAAGCGAGAGGUGAAAUUCUUAGACCUUCGGAAGACAAACAGCUGCGAAAGCGUUCCGCAAGGAUGUUCCCUUUGAUCAAGAACGAAAGUUGGGGGAUCGAAGACGAUCAGAUACCGUCGUAGUCUCAACUAUAAACUAUACCAGCUAGGGAUCGGCCAACGUUAUUUCAAACCGACUUGGUCGGCACCUUAUGAGAAAUCAAAGCAUCUGGGUUCCGGGGGGAGUAUGGUCGCAAGGCUGAAACUUAAAGGAAUUGACGGAAGGGCACCACCAGCCGUGGAGCCUGUGGCUUAAUUUGACUCAACACGGGAAAACUUACCAGGUCCAGACAUAGUAAGGAUUGACAGAUUGAUAGCUCUUUCUUGAUUCUAUGGGUGGUGGUGCAUGGCCGCUCCUGGUUGGUGGAGUGAUUUGUCUGGUUGAUUCCGUUAACGAACGAGAUCUCGACCCUUAAAUAGGUGCCCGUGUCGAAUGUAGUUUCGCCUCCGCGUACUUGUACGAUUGGAGCGGGACGAGACUGCGGGAAUACUUCUUAAGGGGACUGUGUGCGUCUCUAGCACGCGGAAGAGCGAGCCAAUAGCAGGUCUGUGAUGCUCCUAAAUGUCCUAGGCUGCACGCGCACUACACUGAUGCAAUAAACGAGUCUGAGUGCCUUCUGGCAACCUACCUGGAAGCGGGUGGGAAAUCUUUUGAACUUGCAUCGUGAUGAGGAUCGACGAUUGCAAUUAUUUUCCUUGAAUGAGGAAUGCCUAGUAGGCGCAAGUCAUCAGCUUGUACUGAUUACGUCCCUGCAAUUUGUACACACCGCCCGUCGUUGCUACUGAUUGGCUGUAGGGUAGAGGUGGGCGGAUUUCGAGCAUUUGGGGUGACCCUUUUGCUUGGGAGAAACCUACCAAUAUUCUGCAGCUUGAAG
This 1401-nucleotide ribosomal RNA is filed under the name uncultured marine eukaryote. RNAcentral's name for it is "SSU rRNA". It matches the Rfam family "Eukaryotic small subunit ribosomal RNA", at positions 411 to 1779 of the family's 1831-position model. The record is from RNAcentral.